AGCAGCCGCGGUAAUUCCAGCUCCAAUAGCGUAUAUUAAAGUUGUUGCAGUUAAAAAGCUCGUAGUUGAAUUUCGGGGUCAGCAGGUUGGUCGUGCCNACNGUANGAACUGGCUUCGCUGGUCUCUCCUUUCUGAAGAACUGUAAUGCCAUUAAUUUGGUGUUGCAGGGACACAGGACUGUUACUUUGAAAAAAUUAGAGUGUUUAAAGCAGGCUAACGCUUGAAUACAUUAGCAUGGAAUAAUGAAAUAGGACGUUCGAACCUAUUUUGUUGGUUUCUAGGAUUGACGUAAUGAUUAAUAGGGAUAGUUGGGGGCAUUAGUAUUCAAUUGUCAGAGGUGAAAUUCUUGGAUUUAUUGAAGACUGACUACUGCGAAAGCAUUUGCCAAGGAUGUUUUCAUUAAUCAAGAACGAAAGUUAGGGGAUCGAAGACGAUCAGAUACCGUCGUAGUCUUAACCAUAAACUAUGCCGACCUAGGGAUCGGAUGAUGUUAAUUUUUNAANGAGCUCA
Molecule: ribosomal RNA, 510 nt
Filed under: uncultured fungus
Lineage: Eukaryota; Fungi
Description: SSU rRNA
Rfam family: Eukaryotic small subunit ribosomal RNA
Source: RNAcentral